Molecule: long non-coding RNA, 3528 nt
Filed under: Gossypium barbadense (sea-island cotton)
Lineage: Eukaryota; Viridiplantae; Streptophyta; Magnoliopsida; Malvales; Malvaceae
Description: long non-coding RNA (GBAR_LNC016846)
Source: RNAcentral
UGAAGCAAUCGUGGAAACCGGUAUAGCUAACACAUCUCUGGCCAUUUUUGAAAGGGUGGAAAAUCUAAGGCUAUUCACUUUCCACCACAAUAAAAUAUCAAAAUCUUUAAAAAAUCCUCAUUAGCCUCAGCUAGAUAUUUAUCCAACUCAUAUGUUUUAUCCUCACCACCAUUUUCCAACUCACGUUUUUUAUAAAAAAACUUAUAUUCGCCUUUUCAUAUGUAAAAACAUGUGUUGGUACACUCGAUUGGCUACAAGUACUAUGAAGUGGAGGUUUAUACUCAUCAAACUAUUCAUACAAAGAUUCCUUCAAUUUUUGCACCAUUUCACUAAGUGCAAAUGCAAGAUACUUUAGUUUUUAUUUAGGAUCUAAAACACAAGCAACAAACAUAAGCAAAUUCAUCUUAUCAGCAUCACCCCAAUAGUUAUCAUACUUCUCUUUCAUCUUGAUGGCCAUAACAUUGAAAUCAACAUUACUAUUUAACUGAGCAUAUCAUAAAAGAAUAUCAAUUUCAGAAAGCUAGUCAAAAAAAUUAUUGGGCAUGACAUAUGAAGUGUCAGAUAUAUGCAAAAUGACUUCAUAAAAGUGUUCCAAGAAAUCCCUCAAGUGUCUAACAUUAGCCCAAUCAUCCACAUUAGGCCAACCCUCUCCCCUUUCAAGUUCAACCUUAAAGUUUGUAUCUUGCUCCUCAAAUCUCUCAAAAGCUCUCUCAAAGUUCUGAGUAGUGUCUAACAUUAAGUAGGUCGAGUUUCACCUAGUACAAAUAUCAAGACACAACAUCUUCUUGCACUCUAACUUUUCCACCACAACACACUCCUUAAACUUUUGUAAUUUAGCUGGAGAUUGUCUCACAUAUCUAACAGCCCCAUAACACGUUCAACAGAUUUAUUCAUUUCCUUUAAGCCUUCAAAAACAAUCAAAUUCACAAUGUGUGUCAUGCAUCUCAUAUGAAGAUAUUUACUAUUUUGAACUAAACCCUCUCGAAGGUUAAAUUUCUUUCUCAAAUAACCAAUAGCAACAUCAUUUGAACUUGCAUUAUCAACAGUGACAGUAAACAACUUAUCAAUCCCCCAAUUCAACAAGCAUUUCUCAAUCACCAUCCCAAUGGACUUACCCUUAUGACUAGAAAUUGGGCAAAAUUUUAAAAUCUUUUUAUUCAAUUUCCAAUCGUUAUCAAUAAAAUGAGUAGUGAUACACAAAUAAUUAACUCUUUGCAAAGAAUUCCAUGUGUCAGUAGUUAAGCAAACUCUAGAACAAGAACUUCUCAAAAGUUGUUUUAUCUUGACCCUUUCAUCUAAAUACAAUUGAUAAACAUCCCUAGUCAUAGUAGUUUGUGAAGGAAUGUGAAACCUAGGACAUGCCACAAACAUAAAUUUCUUAAAGCCUUCAUUUUCAGCAAACUUGAAAGGUAAUUCAUCAAUCACAAUCAUUUGUGCUAAUCCUUUCCAACAUGCUUCUUGAUCAAAUCUCCAAGUUGAAAAAUGCCCUUCCCCCCCUUCAACUCCCUUUCAAGGUAAAACUAGUUGCUCUUGACUAAUGUCAACAACAUUACUAGGAUUUUUCUUACAUGAACCAAUAUGAUAUUUCAGUGACUCCGUACCAUUUUUUUUCAUAUCACAACAAAAUUCCUUUUGACAAUAAUUACAUUUAGCCUUAUUUGCACCCUCACUAUUAAUAACCAAUAGCAACUUCUGACCUUUAAGGAGUGACUUUUCUUUUCCUAGUAGUCCCAUUUGUUUAGCUUGAAGCUCCAACUCCCAAAUUUUCAAAAUCUAUCGAAGUAGGAGGUGUAACACUACCCUCAAUAGAUGUUGGUUCGGUGGACAUUCUGCAAGAAAAAAAUUAUAUAAUAAAUUAAAAUACAUUUAUAAUAUUAAACAUAUUUUGAUGUUGAGUUUUAGAGAAAUAAAUUACUGUUUUUUUAUGUUGAGUUCAACAUAUACUACUACAUUUUUUUAAAAUAAACAUAGAGGAUCCUUUAAUUCUACCAAAGAAUAAUAGAUAUGGGGUCUUUGGUCACCAUACUGCUUUUAUCCAUGUCUAAUAACUUCUUGUUGACCGGUUCAUCAUUCGCACAAGUGGAUCAGUUAGACAAACUUUAAAAGUUGGACUUAAAAAAAAAAAUCAUAGUGUAGUAUAAUAAACUAAAUUAAUUUACUUCAUAACGAGAAAAUUUUGAAAUAAUAAUACCUAAUGAUAAGCAAUUUUUUAUUAAAAAAAAAAAGACUAAUGCUUUUGUGUAGAAGUAAAUGAUCCAUAACUCUUCUAUCAAUGUUUAAUUUUCAUCCAUUGCAUUAACCAUUCAUUUUUUUAAGGAACCUUUCUUUUUUUUUUCUUUUUUUGAAGUAGAAGUAAUCGUUCAUUGUCUUUAUUUAUAUUUCAUGUUCAUGCAUUGCUUGUAAAUUUUACAUUUAUCAUUUUUAACAUUUUAUCGAUAUUUUAUUGCUAUUCAUGACCUUUAUUAAUACAUUUCAUCAAUUUAAUUUUAUUUGAAAAAAUAAACAUUUUUAUUUGAAUUAUUUUUAUGUGAAAUAUGAAAAACUUGAUAUUAAUAAUAUGAAAAGGUUGAAAAUUGUAUGAAAAAAAAGAAUUAAACUUUAUUUUUAAAAUAAUAAAAUGAUUUUCUAAAACAAUAUUCUUUCAAAAAUAACAAAAAAAUAACAUUUAGUGUAGAUGUUCUCUAUAUAAACGUAUCUUUGGAACAAAGAACCCAACCUUAAAUACUCAAUGAAUAAGGGGCCCAAGAAACCCAAACUUCAAAAACUCUUAAAUAGUACCUAUCAUAGCAUUAAACUUAAUUCAACAAACACCAGAUGCAAAACAGAAGCAAAAGGGCAGGCAAUGGAGUAGAAUCCUUGAGCAUGACCUUGUCGAACUAAAAACAAUAGCCUUGACUAGUAAAAAAAAAACGAAAUCAAGCACUCUCAUAAACCAACAGUUCCCAAACCCAGCGGUCUUUCAUCCAUUUACUGUUUUUUCUUCUCCCUAAAUCCUAUCUCAUUUUCUACUGUCAAUCCGACUCCCUCCUCUCUCCCCAUAAUCCAUCAUCAACAACCACCACCCACUGGCACACUUCCACUCAGGUAACUCUCCCUUUCAUUUUUUAGGCAAUAACAGAGUAACUCAGAAGAUAUGUUCUUCUUAAGCAUACCUACAAACUUGAAAACAACUACAAGCAUGAGAGGAAAAGCCUACCUUAACUCACCGGUGAUGGUGACCUGGUAGAUGCUGGACUGUUCAUGAAGGUGGCUGGCAGUGAGAAUAGAAAGAUUUUGGGAGAUUCAAUAGGGAUUUUGAAGGUAAGGGUCUUAGUUAGGGAUUAUUUUAUUUCUGUCAUGUGUUAUUGUGUUUUAGUUUUAGACUUUUAGUUUUAGAUUUUUAUUUUUAUUUAUUAAAUUAUUUGUAAUUUUUAUGAUUGAGUUGGGUUGGGUUGGAUUGGAUUGGAUUGGAUUGGGUACUUGGGUUUAUAUAUAUUAAAUUGAGUUUAUAUUGGGUUUAUGUUGGAUUGGGUUUGGGUGAAUAGUGGG